GAUGAACGCUAGCUACAGGCUUAACACAUGCAAGUCGAGGGGAAACGGCAUUAAGUGCUUGCACUUUUUGGACGUCGACCGGCGCACGGGUGAGUAACGCGUAUCCAACCUUCCCAUGACUAAGGGAUAACCUGCCGAAAGGCAGACUAAUACCUUAUGGUCUUCACUGACGGCAUCAGAUGUGAAGUAAAGAUUUAUCGGUUAUGGAUGGGGAUGCGUCUGAUUAGCUUGUUGGCGGGGUAACGGCCCACCAAGGCAACGAUCAGUAGGGGUUCUGAGAGGAAGGUCCCCCACAUUGGAACUGAGACACGGUCCAAACUCCUACGGGAGGCAGCAGUGAGGAAUAUUGGUCAAUGGGCGAGAGCCUGAACCAGCCAAGUAGCGUGCAGGAUGACGGCCCCAUGGGUUGUAAACUGCUUUUGUAUGGGGAUAAAGUCAGUCACGUGUGAUUGUUUGCAGGUACCAUACGAAUAAGGACCGGCUAAUUCCGUGCCAGCAGCCGCGGUAAUACGGAAGGUCCGGGCGUUAUCCGGAUUUAUUGGGUUUAAAGGGAGCGUAGGCUGGAGAUUAAGUGUGUUGUGAAAUGUAGACGCUCAACGUCUGACUUGCAGCGCAUACUGGUUUCCUUGAGUACGCACAACGUUGGCGGAAUUCGUCGUGUAGCGGUGAAAUGCUUAGAUAUGACGAAGAACUCCGAUUGCGAAGGCAGCUGACGGGAGCGCAACUGACGCUGAAGCUCGAAGGUGCGGGUAUCGAACAGG
This 761-nucleotide ribosomal RNA is filed under the name Prevotella melaninogenica. RNAcentral describes it as "bacterial SSU rRNA". It matches the Rfam family "Bacterial small subunit ribosomal RNA", at positions 28 to 776 of the family's 1533-position model. The record is from RNAcentral. Lineage: Bacteria; Pseudomonadati; Bacteroidota; Bacteroidia; Bacteroidales; Prevotellaceae.